GAUGAACGCUGGCGGCGUGCCUAAUACAUGCAAGUCGAGCGAACAGACGAGGAGCUUGCUCCUCUGACGUUAGCGGCGGACGGGUGAGUAACACGUGGAUAACCUACCUAUAAGACUGGGAUAACUUCGGGAAACCGGAGCUAAUACCGGAUAAUAUAUUGAACCGCAUGGUUCAAUAGUGAAAGACGGUUUUGCUGUCACUUAUAGAUGGAUUCGCGCCGCAUUAGCUAGUUGGUAAGGUAACGGCUUACCUAGGCGACGAUGCGUAGCCGACCUGAGAGGGUGAUCGGCCACACUGGAACUGAGACACGGUCCAGACUCCUACGGGAGGCAGCAGUAGGGAAUCUUCCGCAAUGGGCGAAAGCCUGACGGAGCAACGCCGCGUGAGUGAUGAAGGUCUUCGGAUCGUAAAACUCUGUUAUUAGGGAAGAACAAAUGUGUAAGUAACUAUGCACGUCUUGACGGUACCUAAUCAGAAAGCCACGGCUAACUACGUG
RNAcentral lists this ribosomal RNA (497 nucleotides) under uncultured bacterium. Its description in RNAcentral is "partial 16S ribosomal RNA". It matches the Rfam family "Bacterial small subunit ribosomal RNA", at positions 28 to 507 of the family's 1533-position model. The record is from RNAcentral.